AGCCUGCCAUCCAUAAGAUCCUGUCUUUGUUCAACCCAGGGGCCAUUUCUGAUGGAUCUUAGUCCCAGGUCUAUGUGCCCGUGACAUUGUAAAUGACUUGUGGAUCUGUUUAUUCAGUUAUCUUUGCCUAAUGUUGUAUAUUUCUAACUUUGCACAUCCCUAAAAUUUAUUGGCAUGUUUCAAAGACUGUAUAAGCAGAUUCAUG
RNAcentral lists this long non-coding RNA (205 nucleotides) under Hordeum vulgare. RNAcentral's name for it is "long non-coding RNA (HVUL_LNC009517)". The record is from RNAcentral. Lineage: Eukaryota; Viridiplantae; Streptophyta; Magnoliopsida; Poales; Poaceae.